AACGCACCUUGCGCUCCUUGGUAUUCCGAGGAGCAUGCCUGUUUGAGUGUCAUUAAAUUCUCAACUUCAUCACUUGUGUUGAAGCUUGGAUGUGGGGGUUGUGCAGAACGCGUAACGGUGGUCUGCUCCCCUUAAAUGAAUUAGCGAGUUCAAACUGAGCUCUGUCUAUUGGUGUGAUAAUUAUCUACGCCGUGGAUUGGACUUAGACUUGCUUCUAAUUGUCCGCAAGGACAAUACUUUGACAAUUUGACCUCAAAUCAGGUAGGACUACCCGCUGAACUUAA
Molecule: unclassified non-coding RNA, 284 nt
Filed under: uncultured Psathyrella
Lineage: Eukaryota; Fungi; Basidiomycota; Agaricomycetes; Agaricales; Psathyrellaceae
Description: partial contains 5.8S ribosomal RNA, internal transcribed spacer 2, and large subunit ribosomal RNA
Rfam family: 5.8S ribosomal RNA (bases 1-52)
Source: RNAcentral